UUCAAUUUCCACCAGUGAUUUUUGAAAUUUUUUUUCCUUAUUUUUUGUUUUUUUUUUUUUUAUAUUAGCGUUUUGUUCUUCAAUUGCUCAAAGCAGCGCUUUCUACACGUUGCUCUUCAAUUGAUUUUGGCAUAGACUUCCAGUGGAUUAGUUCAUUGUUGCUUCUAGCUCUCUGCGAAUAAGCAAUUGUGUAACAAAAUAUUUUACAAAACGAGCAAGGAAAUGAUAUUGAAGGAAGUGCACAUAUUGAGAACAAUUUGUAUUUUAAGUUUGAGGGAGUAAAUUAGUUAGUAACUAUAUUUGCUUGUUUGAGAGAUUUAAAAAAAAAUAAAAAUUGAAAGAUUUGAAAUAUAUAGCUUUACCGAUUAUUUGAAAACUUUUGUGUUUCAUCAAUUGUGAAUAAGUUACACAAUAUUUUUGCUAAUUCGAUAUUUGUUUA
This is a long non-coding RNA of Olea europaea var. sylvestris, 439 nucleotides long. RefSeq lists it as uncharacterized. The record is from RefSeq and is a predicted model, not a curated record. The transcript is spliced from 2 exons. NCBI's taxonomy places the organism in Eukaryota, Viridiplantae, Streptophyta, Magnoliopsida, Lamiales, Oleaceae.